GACGAACGCUGGCGGCGUGCUUAACACAUGCAAGUCGAACGGAAAGGCCUCUUUCGGGGGGUACUCGAGUGGCGAACGGGUGAGUAACACGUGAGUAACCUGCCCUUGACUUUGGGAUAACUUCAGGAAACUGGGGCUAAUACCGGAUAGGAGCUCCUGCUGCAUGGUGGGGGUUGGAAAGUUUCGGCGGUUGGGGAUGGACUCGCGGCUUAUCAGCUUGUUGGUGGGGUAGUGGCUUACCAAGGCUUUGACGGGUAGCCGGCCUGAGAGGGUGACCGGCCACACUGGGACUGAGAUACGGCCCAGACUCCUACGGGAGGCAGCAGUGGGGAAUAUUGCACAAUGGGUGCCAGCCUGAUGCAGCAACGCCGUGUGCGGGAUGACGGCCUUCGGGUUGUAAACCGCUUUCGCUCAUGACGAAGCUUUGUGUGACGGUAGUGGGUAAAGAAGCACCGGCUAACUACGUG
Molecule: ribosomal RNA, 467 nt
Filed under: uncultured bacterium
Lineage: Bacteria
Description: partial 16S ribosomal RNA
Rfam family: Bacterial small subunit ribosomal RNA
Source: RNAcentral